CCAUGUGUAGCGGUGAAAUGCGUAGAUAUAUGGAGGANCACCGGUGGCGAAAGCGGCUCUCUGGCUUGUAACUGACGCUGAGGCUCGAAAGCGUGGGGAGCAAACAGGAUUGGAUACCCUGGUAGUNCACGCCGUAAACGAUGAGUGCUAGGUGUUAGACCCUUUCCGGGGUUUAGUGCCGCAGCUAACGCAUUAAGCACUCCGCCUGGGGAGUACGACCGCAAGGUUGAAACUCAAAGGAAUUGACGGGGGCCCGCACAAGCGGUGGAGCAUGUGGUUUAAUGCGAAGCAACGCGAAGAACCUUACCAGGUCUUGACAUCCCUCUGACCGCUCUAGAGAUAGAGCUUUCCUUCGGGACAGAGGUGACAGGUGGUGCAUGGUUGUCGUCAGCUCGUGUCGUGAGAUGUUGGGUUAAGUCCCGCAACGAGCGCAACCCCUAUUGUUAGUUGCCAUCAUUCAGUUGGGCACUCUAGCGAGACUGCCGGUAAUAAACCGGAGGAAGGUGGGGAUGACGUCAAAUCAUCAUGCCCCUUAUGACCUGGGCUACACACGUGCUACAAUGGCUGGUACAACGAGUCGCAAGCCGGUGACGGCAAGCUAAUCUCUUAAAGCCAGUCUCAGUUCGGAUUGUAGGCUGCAACUCGCCUACAUGAAGUCGGAAUCGCUAGUAAUCGCGGAUCAGCACGCCGCGGUGAAUACGUUCCCGGGCCUUGUACACACCGCCCGUCACACCACGAGAGUUUGUAACACC
This 752-nucleotide ribosomal RNA is filed under the name uncultured bacterium. RNAcentral's name for it is "bacterial SSU rRNA". It matches the Rfam family "Bacterial small subunit ribosomal RNA", at positions 669 to 1421 of the family's 1533-position model. The record is from RNAcentral.